AUUGAACGCUGGCGGCAGGCCUAACACAUGCAAGUCGAACGGUAACAGAAAGCAGCUUGCUGCUUUGCUGACGAGUGGCGGACGGGUGAGUAAUGUCUGGGAAACUGCCUGAUGGAGGGGGAUAACUACUGGAAACGGUAGCUAAUACCGCAUAACGUCGCAAGACCAAAGAGGGGGACCUUCGGGCCUCUUGCCAUCGGAUGUGCCCAGAUGGGAUUAGCUAGUAGGUGGGGUAACGGCUCACCUAGGCGACGAUCCCUAGCUGGUCUGAGGGGAUGACCAGCCACACUGGAACUGAGACACGGUCCAGACUCCUACGGGAGGCAGCAGUGGGGAAUAUUGCACAAUGGGCGCAAGCCUGAUGCAGCCAUGCCGCGUGUAUGAAGAAGGCCUUCGGGUUGUAAAGUACUUUCAGCGGGGAGGAAGGGAGUAAAGUUAAUACCUUUGCUCAUUGACGUUACCCGCAGAAGAAGCACCGGCUAACUCCGUG
RNAcentral lists this ribosomal RNA (490 nucleotides) under uncultured bacterium. RNAcentral's name for it is "partial 16S ribosomal RNA". It matches the Rfam family "Bacterial small subunit ribosomal RNA", at positions 30 to 507 of the family's 1533-position model. The record is from RNAcentral.